AUAAAUCAUGAAUAAUUUUAAUACCUACCAUAAGUUUGACACAUUCAACUAUGAAUUACAGUAAAUGUACGGACAAAUAAAUGAAAAAUUAAAUAAUAGUAGAACAUUUAAAAUCAUUAAUACAAGCAUACGUUUCACUUUUUUAAUAUUUGUUGCUUUAAUUGAAUUAUAUACUUGGAAUGCAUACAACAAUACUCUAUUCAAGAAACAAAACACAGUUGGUGACCAACUUGUUUGCAGGGGCGUGGUAGUAAUACAAGGCAAGUAAUAGAUCACUCGGUGGUGAGAAGCAGAUGUUGCCUGACUGCCACAGAUUGUUUCUAAAAGUGAACAAAGUAUAGAGCAACCCACCCCAAAAAUGCACUUUUCAUUGAAAUUGGUAUCCUAUGACUACAUAUAAUAUAUAUUUUCAUAUAUAUAUAAUUAAGUAUAGUAAACUUGAUUGUCCAUGGUCUCCCAUGGAACUGUACAGUACUAAAAAUAGUGUUUAUGUUCGUUGUAUAAUAUAAAAUCAUUACGGUGGUUACAUUAUAUACAGGGAUAUCUCAAAAACUUGAACAUCAUAAGUCAAAUUUUUGAUCACUCAAAAGAAUGUCUUGGCCUCAGCAUUUCGAUAUAUACAUACAAUUUUUUGUCCCUGUGCUGAUUUGAGUUAUUGUGGUUUCAUUAAUAUACCGAAAUUAGGUAUACGCAUGUUUAAAAAAAAUUGUAAUGUAUACUUAUCAAAUUUUCUUUAAAUAAUAUUUAAUAUCACAUAAUGUAAUUUUAUUAAUAAUAUAACAAUAACACUUUUGAUCUAAUUUGUAUUUUGCAGAUUAACCACAGAAUUUGUUUAUCCCUGUUUGCCGUGCUAUCCUAUUACAAGAAUAAUCAAGAGUGUAUUGUAUAUAUUAGAAAGUACAUUUAAAAUAAAAUACUUUUGUAAAAUGAGUGAAGUAGUAUUAAGUAUUGCAAAAAUAGACAUGUGAAUUGCAAUUCUCUACUAUAUAUUUAUAUAUAUAUAUACCGUCAAAUGGGGUAACAUUAGCCCUUAAUGACAACAUUGGCCCAUAAGUAGGAAAAAGUUUAAUUAUGAGAUAACAGCUGAACUAUUUAACGUAAUUUCUUCAAAACUGUAUCAAACUGCAGGUAGGAGUAGUGGUCUCAAUAUGUAACGAAUUGUAUGUAAACGAUCGUUCACAACUUCAUUUAGUAAAAUUGAUAAAAACUGUUAUCAAAUAACGAAUAAAUUACAACAUUACUACUUUUGUGUCAACCAAGUAUCAUCCGACGUUAAAAAUCUUCGAAAAAAUGCCGCGAACUCAAAGAAAACGUCUUGGAUCAAGACAGUACGCAAAUUAUUCUGCGGAAAUGUAUAAUGUAUAUUCUUGAGUGAUUAAUAACUUUGAGACUGAAGUUUGUUUUUUUAUUAUUUGAUUGUAUUAGCUUUUAACUUUAAACAGUUAAAUUAAAGAGGUUUUUUGUUAUUAUUUUAUAAAUUUGUUAUAAAUUGUUUUUUUAAUACUUUAGUUUCUUUAGGAGGUUACCUAAACUCUAAAUAAUUUUAUAAUGUUGUAUAUUCUUAAGUAAUUCAUAACUUUGAGACUGAAGUUUGUUUUUUAUUUUUUUUAUUAGGUUUAAAACAUAAAUUGUUAAUUUUGUUUAUAAAAAAAAGGUUUUUUAUUAUUUUUAAUCAAAUAAAUGUUGAUAUUUUGAUUGCUUUAAUAUUUAUUGUAUACUAGUUUACUAUAACAUUGGCCCAAAUCAUAAAUAACACUGUUUACAAUGAAUUUACUGGUGUGGGACAUAGUUACCCUAAUUGCAGGUAACAUUGGCCCAAAUUUUUGAAAAAAAAUUGUAGGUUAUUCAAG
Myzus persicae (green peach aphid) is the source of this 1850-nucleotide long non-coding RNA. RefSeq lists it as uncharacterized. The transcript is spliced from 3 exons. The record is from RefSeq and is a predicted model, not a curated record. NCBI's taxonomy places the organism in Eukaryota, Metazoa, Arthropoda, Insecta, Hemiptera, Aphididae.